Molecule: long non-coding RNA, 2582 nt
Organism: Trachemys scripta elegans
Lineage: Eukaryota; Metazoa; Chordata; Testudines; Emydidae
Exons: 3
Source: RefSeq, a predicted model, not a curated record
ACUACUGGUCUCAAAUAAUUCAUCCUAUUGUAAUGUAACUAUCAGGGAAGGGCCAAAUCUCCAAGUUGUUUAUGUGGAUUUCAAGUACCAGCUUUGUCAAGUCCUAUGAUUUUAUCAUGAGUCUUGCUAUAAUUAAUGUUUUACAUAUAGCCUCUGCUCCAGAGUCAUGAGAAUAUGUGAGAACCCCUGCUCCAGAGUCAUGAGAUUACGUGAGAAUCUCUGUUUUCAUUUAAAAAAUAAAAGUAAGUUUCUAGCCCCCGUGGUUGUGAAGAAAGACUUUAAAAGAUGAGUCUUAAAGGCUCAAAAACCAAAAUGCAAAUAAAAAUAACCUCCAGGUAUUUUUUUAAUCUCAUUAUUUUGAGGGCCUGACUUCUGAGCUUUGAAUGUUUGGGGUUGGCAACACUGCCAUAUAUUGGGGUGUUUUCACCUGGGUGUUUGAGGUAGCCCCAUUGCAAAAAUAUGAGCCAUUUGCAAAAUUCAGAUCUAGACCUGUAUUUAAGAUUUCGAACAUCCACAAAGUUCAAGGGCAUUGGUGUGGGCCCAUCUCUAGUUACUGGAGUAUUUGUAUUCAGUUUUAUAUCGUUUCUGGCCUUUUAAAAAUCCAUAGACUCAGUGAAUGGAGAAAAUACUUAUAUGCUGGGCUGUGCCUCAUGGGUACAGCAUGUAGCCAAGAGGCAAGUGUAGAGCUACACACCAUCAGAGGGAGUUCUCUGAGAUGUUGUGGAGUUUGUGGGGCAAAGAGAUCAGGUAACUACUGCUACUUGUUUACUACAUGAUUGGGUAGCUCUGCUGGCUGGUGUGCACAGGGGGAAUAGAGCCCUGGCCCUUCCACCACCCACCCCACCCCCAGGGGAGUAGGAAGGGAUUGGAAUUCUGCCAAACCCUUAUGUGGCCCCCACAAGUGGGAGAGUAAUUUCCCUUUGCCCUCUCUCUCACACACAGAUUGCACACCUAUGAAAGUCAGAUAACUCUUAUCCUCAGUGUUUUCCUGACGGUUGGCAAAAUCACUGCCAAUAACUUCUCAUAUUGUUAUUACCAAAUGAUGUGCACACUUCACUGGAACUCAACAGAUAACAAUAAUACUGGCACCUACCAAUAUUGACCAGGUUCCUUCACUUUUGAGCAUUUUUGUUUCUGCUGUUGUUUCCACUAGUGCUGCCAAAAUUGUUUAGCCCUCACUUUCAACACGUUUCCUUAAAGAGCUCUGAACAAGAGUCGUUUUCCCAAAUGCCUUUUGUUUGCAUUCUAGUUAAAGCAACAGUUAUAGAGCAAACUGCAGUAUAAAUCUACAGAGAAAGAGACUACCUCUGUCUCAGCUGUGGUGAGGCACAUUUUUCAGGUCUGAGAACACCCCAGAGAACUUUGAACACAUCUACUAACUUCAAAGCAAGAAACCCAGAGACUUGCAACACAUCUUGCUUUCAUGGCCUAAACAGUAUAAUCAGUGACUUUAUCCAGGACUGCACAAUAAUGUUCCUGUUCACUGGGGAAUAGAGCAUAGCAAUUUUUACACAGCAGCAACAUCAUGUUUUAAUCCUGCAUACUCCACAAAUAUCAGCCUAGGUCUUCUGCUUUUUUUAUGCCAAGCAGAAAAAAGAAAGGAAGGAAAAGAAAUUUGUUUUAAAAUGCAGAAGGAAGAAAAAUUCCAAUAGCAUCUUAUUCCAUAAGUAAUGUCAUUAAAGUUGUUUGGAUUCCACACAAACAGAGGCACGGGGAUGUAGGAGACUGAGACAUCAAUUAGGUGGCUAUGGGAUGCAACUAAUGAAGAUGACUGAGAGAAUGAGACUGAACACAGUCAAUAUAUACAGCAAAGAGUAUAUAACAGGGAGAAAAAACAAUGAAGGAACCACACAGAAAAAGGAAGUUGCAUUGGACACAGGAUUUCUAUGGAACUAACCAAAGAAGCAGAAAUCGUGGCUAGGAAAUUUUUUUUCAAAGUUUGCCUCUUCAUCCGCCAAACUCAUUCUAAAAAUGGACAAAGCUGCUGUGUCCGCAGAAGAAGCUGGCAAGAAAGAGAGCAUAAGAAAACCAUACCACUGAUCCAAAUGAACAGGGAGAGUGUGCUGGACUGAGAUUAUAUCCUAACUGGCUGUAGACAACUGCUGCUUUUCCAAAAAGUACUCAUUACACCUAGAAGCAUUUAAAAGUCCCAUUGCAUGUGAAUACAGCCUGUAACUUAUUUAAAUUGCAUGUUUACUGCACCAGCGAAGAUACAAUACCAGAUAUUUUACCAAGAAGGCAAGCUCUCUAUCUAAUCAUUUGCACAAUCAAGUAAUAAUGAUGUCUUUUGUUUUCUCUGAUACUUUAUCAUCUGUGUACAUAAAACUUACCUUACUGCCUUCGGCUUCUAGAAGACUCUCUACAGCACUCAAAUACUGUAUAGGCCCCGCAGGACCUUUGCACUGGGAUGAAUUUCAUCUUUUUUAAAACAUCUGGUUGUUCUUUGGCUUAUCAGUAUUGAGCAGAGUUGGGUGGGAAGCUAUUUUCCAUUUCAUGAGAAUUUUCAAGAAGUGAAAAUGUUUCCCAGCCCAAAUAGAGACAAAAAGGUGAAAUCUCGAAAAUGUACACAAACCCAAAAUAAA